This 65-nucleotide transfer RNA is filed under the name Dipodomys ordii (Ord's kangaroo rat). It matches the Rfam family "tRNA". Rfam says of the family: Transfer RNA (tRNA) molecules are approximately 80 nucleotides in length. Their secondary structure includes four short double-helical elements and three loops (D, anti-codon, and T loops). Further hydrogen bonds mediate the characteristic L-shaped molecular structure. tRNAs have two regions of fundamental functional importance: the anti-codon, which is responsible for specific mRNA codon recognition, and the 3' end, to which the tRNAs corresponding amino acid is attached (by aminoacyl-tRNA synthetases). tRNAs cope with the degeneracy of the genetic code in two manners: having more than one tRNA (with a specific anti-codon) for a particular amino acid; and 'wobble' base-pairing, i.e. permitting non-standard base-pairing at the 3rd anti-codon position. Lineage: Eukaryota; Metazoa; Chordata; Mammalia; Rodentia; Heteromyidae. The record is from Rfam by way of RNAcentral.
GGUGGCUCAGCGGUAGAGCACUUGCCUUGCAUGCAUGAGGCCCUGGGUUCGAUUCCUGAGCACCA